CUUUCUUUCCCCUGUGAUUUCCCCCCCGUUAAGUAAAUUCAGCCAAGGAUUUUUCACACGGGUUCCAACUAGUCUUCUGGAGCCAUGGGAAAGUGGAUUACUCAAAUUUAGAAGUUGCCGUAUCAAAAAUGACCAUCUACUGAACAGAUUUAUGAGCCGUGGCACUAGCUUGGCCUUUGGAAAAUGAAGGGGCUCCGGAGGCCACAGGCCGGGGGCUCAGCUGAUUCUAGAACUCAACAUUAUCUGCGUCAUCAUCGUUAUAAGCAUCCGGACCGCAGAGCAGAGCUUCUGCUGGGGCUCCUGUUUCCGUGGCAACAGCUUCACUGGCCUGUCACAGAAAGGAGGAAGAAAGAGGAGGGGGGAGAGGCAGGAGGAAGCGGCGGGGCAGAGAGGGGGAAAAGCUAGGAAGAGGGCAGGAGAGGACGGGAUGUGGACGAAGGCAGGGGAAAAGUACAGAAAGAGAGGACCAGGGGGGCGAGGCGGGAAGAGGAGACGCGGGGACGCUGUCAGGCCCAACCACCUACAGGUGCGCUGCUGCCUGUAUGCAAGAGCCUCCCAGUUCCCCUUGUUAAAUGCAACCCAUUUCAACUCCCGGAUGCUGCCUCAAGACACACUCAAUUAUCUGAUAAACCCCAGGAAAGCUGUGCCGGAAAGUGAACGUGGGUUGUAUAAGAUGCCGGGGAAGCUUGCAGACGGACACCUUGGAACUCUCUGAAUUACAUGCACGACUCUUCUAUAAGUCUAAAAUUAUUUUUUUUUAAGUUUUAAAAGAAGAACAACACGGGCUGUUUUAAAGUAAGACUCCUGCUUUUCUAACAGUGAUUUUAUCUUUUUCGUAUAAAACCAAUGCCCUUGAUAGGGUUUAACUAUCAUAAAGUUUUGCUGGAAGGCUGGCUGAAACACUAUGGCAAAAGCUGGGCUCCUGCAACAAAAGUGAAUUAUUAAACUCGGAACGUGUUAGCAGUGCCGCUGUGCUCUGGAGCUGGGAUGCAGGGAGAGACAUGCCCCGUGCACGUAGGAGCAAGGGCUCUGAUCCGCAGAAACAGAGAGGCUUGCAAGAACCUGCCUUUACAGUCUCUUCACACACCACACUCCUGACUUCCUGCCUCCCAGGUCUUCUCCAGAGAGCCUCGCUCCCCUGGGUCCAACCCCCCAGCCCUGCUGGCAACCCUGCAGUCUGCAUGUUCCUCCACGCCUUCCAGCCUUCACAGUCUACUCCCUCUUCCCCAGUGCACUUCCACCUCUUUGCUGCAGAAUGACUUCCGCGCAUCCUGAGACCCCACGUGACUCUCACAGAAACAGCACCCCCUCCAGGGCCAUCCUGUGUGCCCCGGGGGCACCUCCACCUCCACCCACCGAAGCAGUUAUGAUGGGAUGGAAGUACAUGUCCACCUGUUCCUUUUUCCCAAAGAGACCGAGCGACUCUCAAGGAAGGGUGAGAUGCUGAAUUCAGCCCUGUAUCCACACUCACCCCUGGCACCCAAGUCUUGCAACAGAUGCUCAAUGAAUGAAAGACUUGGGAGUCAAGAAUGAGGGCAACUCUUUUAAAAGAGAAAAUACCAGUAUACAACCUUCCAUAUUCUGUGAAAGGGUCAAAAAGAUUCUAUUUGUGAGAUGUGAAAGCAUCAAGCCCUUUUAAGAGAAACAGAUUUUGUUACAGAAUGAUGGGUCCAUUUCCAUAGACAACAUGAGCCCGUCGCGAGUAUCCUCUUCCAACCGGGAAACUGAAAAGCUUUUCAAAGGUUUCGGUUUCCUUGACAACAGCAUUGCUGGAGACAAGCAGGGAAAUAAUUAAAAAGUAUGUUCUCUUCGCUUCGAA
Molecule: long non-coding RNA, 1819 nt
Organism: Odocoileus virginianus texanus
Lineage: Eukaryota; Metazoa; Chordata; Mammalia; Artiodactyla; Cervidae
Source: RefSeq, a predicted model, not a curated record